GUACAACUCCUCAACUACUGCAAAUUAUCUUUAUCAACAAAGACACAAAUGGGCAAGUUUUCAACUAUUGCUCUCCCCCAAAAUUUUGUUUGUCAAUCAUGCACAUUCUCCCUUAGCCAACUACGACAAUAAACUAGCCUUGAACAAUAAGCGCUGCUCGCUGCUCAAUAAAGAGAACCACUUUCUUAGACACUCAGUUGGAUCACAUGGAUUUGCAGCUGGUGCAACUUCAAUGUUACUUCCGACAAGUUCCUCGAACCUAAGAGGAAUUAGGCCAACUAAAGCAAUUCCAAUGGAGAACUGGAGGUGGAGAUCCAUUCUUUUGGAGUCGCAUUGUGAAAGUAAUGCACAGAAAGAGCUUCUUAAUCUCUGAAUCCUAACAUCUUCAUAUCCAAAAGCUUCAAGUCCACUCCUUCCAAGUUGACCAAGAAG
Molecule: unclassified non-coding RNA, 432 nt
Filed under: Hevea brasiliensis (rubber tree)
Lineage: Eukaryota; Viridiplantae; Streptophyta; Magnoliopsida; Malpighiales; Euphorbiaceae
Source: RNAcentral